Molecule: long non-coding RNA, 6221 nt
Organism: Cygnus atratus (black swan)
Lineage: Eukaryota; Metazoa; Chordata; Aves; Anseriformes; Anatidae
Exons: 2
Source: RefSeq, a predicted model, not a curated record
CGGAAGCGGCCGCACCUGCCCCACCGCAGGGCCGGGGGCUCGGCCGGGCUCCGGAGGAGCGGUGCCGGGUCCCGACGUCUCCGGGCUCUGCGGGGAAUGAAGGCGGCGAGGCGAUGAAAGCUGUGAGGCGAGACAAUGGGGCUACAAACUUCUAUGGCUACUGUUCUGGAAAAGGCAGAAGACGCAAAUCACUUUACCACAGGCUAUGUUUUUACGAAUAUAAAGACAUAGGAAGUUCUUGAAAGAUUAUCAAACCAAAAAAGAAUCGCAGUAAAUGUUUCGUUCUGCGCCUUCGCAGCGAGGCUCCUGUGCUGAAGUGGGAUUAGCCUGUAAAUAGUUGCUUUGGUUCUUUUGGGGUUGUUUUUUUUAUGUUUAUUUGGUUUUGUUUUUUGUUUUUGGAGUGGGGAGAGAGCACAAAUCCCAACAAAGCUUGUAUUGAUGCUGCCUCUGAUCGGGCGCUUUCACAAACCUGAAAUCACCUCUUUCCAGCCUUGUGAUGGGUCAUGAGAAGCAUCAGAUCUGAACACUCAGGAGCUGAUUGCAGGUCCUAAAAUAACUGGGAGAUCAGCCAUGGCUUGUCUUGGUUUCCAGUUCGAUAUGACUCUGUCCUGUCUUUGACACUAACAGUAGCAAUAAGGGGGGCGAUUUCCCCCAUUUAGGCUUUUCUGUGAAUCAUAAAGUCACUGUUUAAAUAGACAGAUGAUCUUCAUUUCCUUCCAAGAAGAGCAUGAUAAUUCAGUGCGGGAGAGAGGCAGGCAGAUAGAUUCUUUGUUCAUAUGCGAAGCAGCCUGGCUGUUUGGCAUCUAGCUUCUGCCAUUUCUUGGUGAUAAUUCUGUGCUUUAUACUAUUUUAUAAAGAAAAAAAAGUAUGUACAUUUAGCAUGUUCGGCAUAAUUUAGUGUAGCAGUGUUUCCAUUCUAGUUUCCAAGUUUGUCACUGAAAGCACUGGCUGCUUUCAAUCUAACACAGCACUGGCUUCCUGUGUGUUAUCUCUUUUAGCUUAAUUUUUGCUCUUCCGUCUCCCACAGCUCUGUGACUGACAAGAAAGCCAGUAGAUGUUGGAAUGCCGUGCUUCAGCCCCGAAAAAUUUCUAUCAGAGGUUUUAAAAUAGAAAUAGUUGCCUCUCUCUCUGUUCAUCUUUCAGAUCAUGCGUGCUCUUGUCAUUUUCAAAGAGCACUUUGAUUAAAAAUAACUUGAUUAGCUGAUAAAAUUAAAUACACUUUGCAAGAAGAGCAUUAGCCUCAAACAUCCUGGCUGUUAAUGAGCACUGCGCUUGCACGUAUUGUCACUUACAGACUUCAGCCAAAAGGAAGUCCGUGGUUAAUGACAGCUUCAGAAGCCUAAAGAAGCUGGCAAGCUGGGACAGCAGUUUUCUCUAUUUCUUUUUGCCUUUUUUGAAGGCUCUUUGUCAUCAGGUGUUUCAACGUGUACAGUACCACAUGCCUCGCCUAUGGUCCUCAUAGCUCGUGGUUAAGAAGGAGCAUUUCUGAGAGUAGCGGGAUGGCUGGUGGCAAAAGGAGCCUGACGGGUUGCCUCUGCCUGCGCAGGAGGGCUCGCAGCAGUGGAAUUUCCCCCAAAGAGGAACAGAGAGGAAGAGCCUCUAGAAGGUCAGCAAUAUCGCAGGAGUUUUGAGGGACUCGGUGGAGAUCUAGAGGAGAUGAUGGAAGUGGAGGUCAGACAAAAGGAGCAGCAGAAAGGCGAGGAGACUUUAGCCAAGGGGCUGGGGAGCAGCCUGCAUAGAAGGGGGAAGCUACGAGACCCCAGAGGUGGCUGCAGAGGUUGGUGCUCCAAGUCAGGGGACCAGCAGCCUGCGUGGAGAAGGGUGGCAGGGGUGCCCUACUCCCUUCUCUCUUCCAAAUUUCUCCAGUUAGUACCAGCUGAGAACUGGCAAAGUCAUAAAUGCUGCUCAGUGCCACCCAGCAAGAUGCCAGGCACAGCACGUGAGCUGGGGAAGUGCCUGCAGCCUGCAGCCUGCUUUUGGGCUAAGGGAUGCUUAAUAGCAUGGUUCAGCAAAAACAAACCAGCCUUCGGCCUGACAGGCACCCAGCAAGGCUGAAAGAACCAUAGUCAUUCCAUUUCCACUUCCAGAUUUUAAAGAUUAACCUAUUAUUAAUACAGUACACUGUAAGUGUCAGAGUGGGGAUUUCCUGUGGACUUAGCUUGCCUUUCUGGUUUUCCAUAGCACAGCUUUACCAAGAAUGGGAGAUAAGGGUUUUGAAAUGUCAAAAUAAAAAAGCUUUUUUUAAAAAAAAAAUCAUAUCAUGGUCCAUUUCAUGUAAUCGGUGAUUUUCUGAGCUCCUCUAACUUCCUCUAAGAAAGGAAGAUAAUGUCCUCAUUGAAAGUAAUAGAAGAUGCUACUCUGGAAAUUCAGAUCAAUCAGUGAAGUAGCGAUGAAAGGAGAAAACAUACAUUCCACACUAAAACUCAAUGUUAAUGUAACCUGAGUAUUUCCAAGCUAUGCCAAGGGUGACUCUAUUUUGAAGUAUUUAAGGCUUCUCACUGCAGAGUAUGCUCUAUUAUCCCCUUAACAGUGACGGAGUAAGCAAUAGGCUUGUGAUGCACGAAUAGCCAGCACCUCCUGAAAGCCUCCCCGAGCCUGACAAUUCACAGUAGCUGCUGAACAAGGAUUAUUCCAACAGGAAUGUGUUCACUCUCCCAGUUUCAAGUUCAAGAAGUGCCUCAGCACUAAGACGGGUGUGAUAUAACAGUUUUUAAUGGCAGAAACCACGAAUCUUUUUUCUGUUUUCUCUCAUUGCCGCAGACAUGCUGUUGCAGGAUUAAAGAUGCUGAUUAAGAAUAACAGCAAGCUUUCGCAACUCAACAAGUUAAGCCAUUGUGUCUGUAUAAUUAGGGAACUAAAUCUUUUGCAGUUCAGUCAAGCAAAGAAAUUAACUAGAAAAUUUGAAACCUAUUUUUAACAGGGGAUUUUUUUUUUUUUCAAAAAUCCCUCUGACAGCCAUUGCCACAAACUACGUGCAGGUCUCCUGUGCCUUCAUAACUCAACACUUGCAUGCACAGAAUAUAAUCUUUGGGCUGAGAAGCUGUCUGCGUUUUUAGUCAUUUUAGUCUUACAUGCAAAUUCGUACUUGCAUGUGUAAAUGAAAAUGCUGAGGACUCAAUCACCACACCUGCUGUAUAUAUUUGUCCCUACGGCUUUCUAAAGAUUACUUUGUAAAUUCGUAAUUUCUGAUGUGAAUAAUUUCCAGGAGACAUUACUAUCCAUUAUGGGAGAAAGACAAAUGCUGUAAUGUAUAAUUCACUUGAAAUCUAUUCCUGUAUAUUCUUGUGCCAGAGGAUCUAACUUUUAUGAGGAAAAUGUUAACAGGCAAAAGGUGGUGAUUCUGGGAAACUCCUUGGUUGCUGUGACCUGUGGAGACUAGUCCAGUUUCCUGGCUGUCAUUACUGGCUGUUCCUGAGGAAGUCUCUCCUGGUUUUGUUGUGUUGAUUGGGGUUUCCCAAUUUGAAGGGCAGUCAGCAGUCUGUAUUUUUUUUUCCAGCUGCCUAAUGAAUGCAACAUUUAAAACUCGCUGUUAUUCCUUUGGGUCUUCACUGCAAGCUGUACAAAAUUUGGGCAUCAUAGCAUAACUAUGCUAUGCUAGACCUCACACACAUACAGAUGCGUGCAGACUCACAUAUGUCUGAGAAUCGCUGCAACAAACAAUUGCAUUAACAUGCACAUCAGCUGUCACGAAUAUUUUGCUCCUGCAUCACGCUCAGUCUCACACAUUUGUAGUUCUCAGAGGUAAGAGGUAUUGUUUUGUGAAACUGCAGAAUGAGGACAGGAUACAGCUGUCUCACAGCCUCAGGACAGGCAUCUGGUAACUGCACACUGCGUUGUCAGGACUGAGCUCAGGUGGGAGUAAGGAGUAAAGGAUGCCUUAGGUAUCAGCACCCUGGCAGAAAAAAAAAAAAGAAAAGUAAUGGGGACAAGUGGGUGAACAUAAGAAAACCACACGGUAAAAGGUCAUUACAGGAUAUGGUAGCUGCUUUACAAAUGAGAGAUAACUAAUGUUCUAACUGAACAACAACAAAAAUUACAUGCAGUUGCAGAGCUUCUGUGGAAAUUAACUUGAACCAUUCAGCUCAGGCAGAAAGUGAUAAAUUCAGCCUGAAAGCUUCAAGCUGGUCUCAGCAUAGUUUCUGCAAUGUUCCUUUUGUUCUUUGCCCAGGAGAAAUUCCUGCCCGUUCUGCCUGUCGCCUUUGGGUGAUAUAUACUAUUCUCUGCCCAGGCAGGCUUCCUGCAUCAUGUAUUAGCUGCUGGGCUUGGGUGUAUGGAGAGGAGCACGUAGGUAUUACUGGCAGUAGGACUGAAUGGGUCAAAUAGGCUGCUCCAUCUUGCUGUCCAUGACAUUCAUCAGCUGAGCAGAUAUUAAAGUUCCCCAUACUUCUGCUUUGCAUGCAAGAAAUUUUCUCCUAGUCUUUGCUGCAUUUUUGUUAGUUUUGUUUUUAUCCUGCCUUCAGUGUCUUCAGUCCUCUUGCCUACAGGGGUUUUCUUGAUCCUGCUGCUGGACGGCCCAGCCACCCAGCCUCCAAGGAAGAGCACUGUCCCACCUGCUACCAAGGCAGGGAGCUACCGUGGGCUUCUCACAUUUGUUUUGAUACUGGGGUGAAGUGGAAGGAAGCCCCUGUUUUACAUCUUGUUUUGACAAAUUGCCAUAUUUUGUGGUUUUAAUGUUCUUUUUCUUUUUUGGUGUGUGUGCGAUUUCCCCUUCAACCUGCUGUUAAGACACACCUCCUGAAAAUACUGUAAGACUACUGGUAAAACAGAAAGUUUUACAAUUUUUUCAAAUAUUUUAAGUCUUUGAAAUUGUUGCCACAGCUACCUCCAUCUGAGUUGUGACCUGUUUUUCAAGCAGGAUGCCUUCGAUCCUGACCUUCCCCGCAGAUGGCCCAGGCCUAGGCCGAAGUGGGGUCCUGGGCCCUGGGCAGGGUGCGGGGAGCCCUGAGGGGCUGGGCAGGGACAGUGAGAUAUGUGGGUGCCCUCAGGGGCCUGGCACCUGGUAACUGAUGUUUUUCUGUGCUCUUGGCUUUCAUUUCUGUCAAAAGUCACUGUGAGGGAUGUGCAGGAUAGCCACCUACAUCGGGGCUGACUCACUGCUACAAGGCCCAGGCUCUCCCGCCUGUACUCGCUAAAAGAAUAGAAACACAUUAGUGGGUUUUGUCUUGUAAGGGCUAAUGUACAAUAGGUGUAUAUAUUCUCCUCAUCGCCCCAAAGUAAGCAUAACACCAGCAUCACAAGGAUGUAUCUCCUCCGCUUGGUCUCCUUGAUAGACCAACAGCUGCUUUGCAGGAGGGAGGUGGCCUCUUGGGUACUGGGACUGACUCAAGUAACUUCUCUGCCACAAAAAGUUGUACCUGCCUCUAAACCAAGCAACUCUAGAUAGCUAAACAGCCUCUUUACACUUCAGUUAUUUUGGGGUUUUAUCUACUUUGUCAUGGUGAAAAGGCUUCUGAAUAGAUUUUACUCAAACUCACAGUUGGUGACUUGAAAUAAAGGAGUUUCUUAGCUAUGGUAUCACCUCACCUCUUGAGCAACCCAGCCAUAGCAGACUUUUGCUUGAUGAGCACUGAGGACCUCAUUUGAGGCUCUGGUUGGAGCCAUCUUCUGAGGGACACCUCCUGAAUACACAGAGCAGGGCAGGAGAACAUGGGUGCCUUCCACCUGUCUAGGUCCCUGGCAUCUUACUGAUGGUCAUCAAGGGUAUCAGUCUGUCCAAUCAUGCCCAGUGCUUUGGGAAACUUUAACCUCUGUUCCCUUAUUCUUGAUCUAUUUUGUUUGUUGCUCUUAUGACUCUUUUUUCUCUAAUUCACAGCUUCAACUCUCUCCAUCCACAAGUACCUUGGUUUUGAUGUAUCUCACCUUAUGGAACUGACAAAAAGGCUUUGUAUAAUGAUAAUAUAAAUGUAUAAUGAUAAUCUAAAUCAAUACUUUUCCGUACUUUGGUUUUACUGACUUCAAGGGUCCAGAUGAUGCCUAGGGGUUGCUCAGGGAUUGCUCAGUGCCAUCCCUCUUCCCCUGGGGAAGUCUGGCAGUUACCCUGCAAGGAAGUCAAAUGUGUCAGUCUGCUUAAAUAUUUUGUCUGGGAUCUAAGAUGUCUUGUGUCUAUUUACUUGGUUAACUUAUCAUUAUCCUGCGGGAGACUUGAAAAAAUGGUGUAUCUCUUUAAACAGCUCCUGUAAAAACAAUUGAAGUAAUUAAAAUUAUCUGUGUUUGUGUUGCGA